GGGCCCUCGGGGCGUCUCGUGCAGGGUGGUGCGGCGCGAACUUGUUUGCGUUGUGCUCGAGACUGCUGCUGCUGCCGCCGCCGCCGCCGCCGCCGCUGCUGUAGUUGUUGUUGCUGUAGUUAUGCUGGUCAGCUGAAUGUGGGAUUGCAGCUCCAGUGUGACGGGAAGGAGGGGAAGCCCGGCCUCCGACAGAACGCCGAGAGAAGCAGAAGUAGCUACAGCGGAUGAGAGCGCUGCGGGAUGCGGACUGCUGGACUCUACUUCACCGAGUAAAUGACCACAGCAGCGAGGACAGCUGUGUCAGGGGGUGCUGGAGCCUAUCCCAGCGGUCAUCGGGCGGAAGGCAGGAAACAUCCUGGACAGGUCACCAGUCCAUCGCAGGGCAGACAGACAUACACAUACAUUCACCCACACACUCACACCUAUGGGCAAUUUACCAUGUCCACUUGACCUGACGGCAUGUGUUUGGACUGUGGGGUGGAAACCGGAGUAUCCGGAGGAAACUCACACAGACACGGGGAGAACAUGCAGACUUCAUGCAGAAAGGACCCCGGUCACCUGGCUGGGGAAUCGAACCCAGGCCCUACUUGCUGUGAGGCGACAGCGCUACCCACCACACCACCAUGACGCCAUCUUAUUAGAAAUUUAAUAUUAGAAAUUUAAAUGUUAGCAGGUGGUCAGUCUUUUAACCCUACCUAUCUGCUUGAACUAGACACUUGCCAUCUUUUCUUUGCUGCAAUCUCAUUAAGACCUGAGCUGAUGUUAAGUGUUUAUGUUGAUUGAACUGUAGCUGAAAUGCAGCUAAUAUGGUAAUAUGGCAGGUGUGGAAUUAUGUAGAAUUGUGUAACUGCUGUCCUAUAGAUUUUUGUUGAGGUAGGAGAGUGCACAUAAUGUUGCAGUGCAUGUUGGGGACUGUAGUGCAGCACAUUGUGAAACAGGCUAAUAUUAAUAGAUAAUUAAAAUACUUUUGUGGGCCAGAGAGUAUUGUGUUUGCCACAUGGGGAUUAGGUGGAUUGAAUAACAUUGCAGUGGAGAGGAGUGGGUUUUGUUCCAUGUCAGAAAAGUGCUUCUGCACAGCUGUAAGUAAAGUUUGUGUCAUAGUUUUGAUCCCUAAUCCACAUUUCAAGCUUUAUGUCUUGUUGGAGUCCUUUGAUUGGUUGAUUGAGCUGUAGUUGAGUGUUCCCUAAAGCCAGACACACACUGUGCAAUUUUAGAAAUCUAGUUCUUUGGUGACUCACACAGUAUGUUUGAAUAGACCAAGUAUGGACAACGCCUACGAUUUAUAUAACAACACUGUACAAAAACACUUCAUCCAUGCUAUUUGAAAUGCAGCCCCAACACCAAGCUCUGUCUAUAGACAUUUGUUAAAAAGCUGUUUCAUUCAAAACAACACACUGAGUACAGUACUGAGCAAAUAUGCUAAGAAACUGUGCUACAGGAGCUUAGCUAAGUUGUGCCACUCUGUGCAGUGAAUCUAAAACAGGCAGUGAUAAUAGAACGAUACACUCUAUACAGCCUAUUUUACAAAGGCAAUUAAAAAAAAUCAUUGUAACCUUUUAUACUUCACAGAACAAACAGAAUAAAUUAAACAGAAUAAAUUAUGUAUACAUGUAUUAUGUAUACAUACUGGCAAGAAAUAUUGCCUCCAUUUACCUAGCCUACAUAUCCCCAUCCGUAAAGGGUAAUGUUUUUGAUUGUGUAUGUGUUUACAAAUGGUACAAAAUCACACAGUCUGUUCCUGGUGGGAAUAUGCCAAGGUGGAUUGUUUAAAAUGACAAUAAUGCAGCUGCACAAUCUGCUUAGAAUUUAAUUCAGAAAAACAACAAGAAUAAUGUAAUCAGAAAUUGUGAUAAAAAAACAUGUUUGGUCUUUGUUGCUAUUUGCAGUGUGAUUGGUAUGACUGAGUUAGCUUUCUUGGAAAAUUUGUUUUCAAAUUAAUAGAAGAACUGAAAUGUUAACUUGCUUAAGAAGCCUGUUAAUGAAUCUGGAAGCUUUUAACGUGUAGCUUAGAGAAAACUGAAUGGUAUGGUAGUUGUAGAGAAGGGAAAUGAAAGCUACACAUGAAAAUGUAAAUGUGCACUGUGAACGUCUUUUUGUGUCUCACAUGUUAAUGUACUGAUGUAUCAGAGGGCAUUUCCUGAAGGCUCAACUUCAAGGUUAGAUUCAGAAAUUAGGAGUGAGCAUAGUGUAACUGUUGGUUAUGUGUAAUUUUAAGCAAUAAAACGGUACAUGCUAGACACACU
This is a long non-coding RNA of Pygocentrus nattereri (red-bellied piranha), 2243 nucleotides long. NCBI's taxonomy places the organism in Eukaryota, Metazoa, Chordata, Actinopteri, Characiformes, Serrasalmidae. The record is from Ensembl.